GGCGGCGUGCUUAACACAUGCAAGUCGAACGAAGAGCGAUGGAAGCUUGCUUCCAUCAAUCUUAGUGGCGAACGGGUGAGUAACGCGUAAUCAACCUGCCCUUCAGAGGGGGACAACAGUUGGAAACGACUGCUAAUACCGCAUACGAUCUAACCUUGGCAUCGAGGAUGGAUGAAAGGUGGCCUCUAUUUAUAAGCUAUCACUGAAGGAGGGGAUUGCGUCUGAUUAGCUAGUUGGAGGGGUAACGGCCCACCAAGGCGAUGAUCAGUAGCCGGUCUGAGAGGAUGAACGGCCACAUUGGGACUGAGACACGGCCCAGACUCCUACGGGAGGCAGCAGUGGGGAAUCUUCCGCAAUGGACGAAAGUCUGACGGAGCAACGCCGCGUGAGUGAUGACGGCCUUCGGGUUGUAAAGCUCUGUUAAUCGGGACGAAAGGCCUUC
RNAcentral lists this ribosomal RNA (442 nucleotides) under Veillonella dispar. RNAcentral's name for it is "bacterial SSU rRNA". It matches the Rfam family "Bacterial small subunit ribosomal RNA", at positions 38 to 457 of the family's 1533-position model. Lineage: Bacteria; Bacillati; Bacillota; Negativicutes; Veillonellales; Veillonellaceae. The record is from RNAcentral.